This 449-nucleotide ribosomal RNA is filed under the name uncultured eukaryote. RNAcentral describes it as "SSU rRNA". It matches the Rfam family "Eukaryotic small subunit ribosomal RNA", at positions 455 to 911 of the family's 1831-position model. The record is from RNAcentral.
CACAGGGAGGUAGUGACAAUAAAUAACAAUACAGGGCUUUCAAAGUCUUGUAAUUGGAAUGAGUACAAUUUAAACCACUUAACGAGGAACAAUUGGAGGGCAAGUCUGGUGCCAGCAGCCGCGGUAAUUCCAGCUCCAAUAGCGUAUAUUAAAGUUGUUGCAGUUAAAAAGCUCGUAGUUGAAUUUCGGGCUCGUCGGCGUGGUCCUCCUCACGGACGGCACUGUGUCGACGGGUCCCACCUUCUGGGGCUCCAGGCUGCACUUUACUGUGUGGUCUGGCGCGCCAGAUACUUUACUUUGAAAAAAUUAGAGUGUUCAAAGCAGGCUCGCGCUUGAAUACAUUAGCAUGGAAUAAUAGAAUAGGACUUUGGUUCUGUUUUGUUGGUUUAAAGGACCAAAGUAAUGAUUAAUAGGGACAGUUGGGGGCAUUAGUAUUUCAGGGCUAGAGG